Pelobates cultripes (western spadefoot toad) is the source of this 548-nucleotide non-coding RNA. Lineage: Eukaryota; Metazoa; Chordata; Amphibia; Anura; Pelobatidae. The record is from the annotation of a GenBank genome assembly.
AUGCAAUGCUGCCCUGGAAAGGGCUACACCUUCAUAAUUAACACAAUAUCCAAUCACACACAGUACAACCCCCACGUCUCCUCCCCUCAGAUAAACAUUUAACAUAAUUAUAACACAAUUUUACCCAAGUUCUGGAUGUACCCCAAAACCAGGGAGUACACCCUUAAAUCCAGUAUCCUCAGAUAGCUCUUGUUCAGGGGGACAACAUAUCAAAAAUCCAGCCCAUUCGGUUAAAGCGUUCGGGAGUUAUGGGUCUUUGAAGUUUUGACCGACCGCACAGACUUUUUAGCCGAAAAUAGUUCCACAAGUUUUGGCCUUGCGGUUGGUCCCCGUUCGUGCAUUGAAAACCUACGAAAAUCUUUCCGUCCACAGCUAUCUUGGCGUUCGCCGGAAUCCCCAUGCAUGGUUUAGUCUUUCUACCGAACGGCCAGCUGUUCAGUAGUUUCAGCACGAAUCUACGUUGUCACGGAGGUCUCAGCGGUAUUCGACUGUUUGCGUAUCCGUUUUUAGUUCCACACGAUUGAUGGCAAAACACAGCUGUUCGUGCG